Molecule: ribosomal RNA, 362 nt
Filed under: uncultured Oxalobacteraceae bacterium
Lineage: Bacteria; Pseudomonadati; Pseudomonadota; Betaproteobacteria; Burkholderiales; Oxalobacteraceae
Description: bacterial SSU rRNA
Rfam family: Bacterial small subunit ribosomal RNA
Source: RNAcentral
AGAGUUUGAUCAUGGCUCAGAUUGAACGCUGGCGGCAUGCCUUACACAUGCAAGUCGAACGGCAGCGCGGGAGCAAUCCUGGCGGCGAGUGGCGAACGGGUGAGUAAUAUAUCGGAACGUGCCUUAGAGUGGGGGAUAACUAGUCGAAAGACUAGCUAAUACCGCAUACGACCUACGGGUGAAAGUGGGGGAUCGCAAGACCUCAUGCUCUUAGAGCGGCCGAUAUCUGAUUAGCUAGUUGGUGGGGUAAAAGCCUACCAAGGCGACGAUCAGUAGCUGGUCUGAGAGGACGACCAGCCACACUGGGACUGAGACACGGCCCAGACUCCUACGGGAGGCAGCAGUGGGGAAUUUUGGACAAU